ACUCUAAAAAAAAAAGGUUCCUUGAGGUUCUAUAUAGAACCGUGGGGUUCUAUACUUGGCCAAUAGAACCUUUUACCAAAAAACGGGUUCCAUAUAGAACCCUUGGAAGGCAAAGAACCAUUUUUAUUAAAAUGGUUCUAUAAUUCACGUUUUGUGACUGAAGUGUAAACUAAAGAUUACACAAUAAUUGCAGACCUACACAACUCAUUUACAAACCUACACAACUCAUUCACAAACCUUUUUGUGUCAAUAGGUUGUGGUCAAAUAAAGAGAGAGUCAACAAAUAGGCUACUAAUAUUUAGUGUACACUGUAAAAAAUCCAACUAAUGAAAUGUUGGACGGGCAAAAAUAUAUAAGUUAAACCAAUUUUUUUGUUUGAGCUAGUUGAGAAGAUCUGUGUUUAAAAUAUUAAAUGAAUGGUUAUUUUCAAAUCCAGUCAACAUUCAGAAUGGCUAGUGUUGACUGAACUAAUUAAGACAAAUCAGGUAAAUAUGUGGACUUAUGACAGCUAUGUUUCCUGACAACAAAAUGCUCAUAAUAUUACUGUUAUUUGGUCACAAAAUGUAAUUGUAAGAGUUGUUCAGGCGUGAAUGUAUGUGCUUAAAGUUUAAAUAUGCGGUCGGUUAAUAAAGAAUAGCGUCUAUUUAAAAAUGUGCUCGGACACUUUCGGACGUAGAUGAGCUCCAUAUGAGCUCCAGAAAAUCACAGACACUUAAGCGCUCACACCCCGCCCAGCGCAGCCUCUCCUCGGCAAGCCCAUCAGACUGCUGGCUCUGAUAUCUCUGUGGCGUUUAAACAUGUGAUUUAAUUCAUUUUGAUUUCUCAUACUUAACAAUGAAAGGGUUAUGUUUUAAAUAAUAUUUUAGGAUUGCACUUAAUUGAUAUUGCUGUUGAGUGAUGUUUCAUAUCUUUUACAUUUGUUAUAACCGGACUGCAUGCGAAUUUGAACUUCAGAGCUGAGGAAGCGGGUGGAGAAAUAGUCCCAAUAUCAUAACAAUCUUAAAUAAAACUUCUAAAUAUGCCCGUGUGUGUACCCGUGUGCGCGCGCGCGUGCGCGCGACCCGCUCACGCGCGCGUGUGUAUGUACAGUAUGUGCGUGAGUUUUUAAUUUAAAAUGUCUUAACUUAACUCGGAAGGAUCUGAAUGACAGGUCAUUUCAUCUGAGAUCAUUCCGCAUGUAACAGCCGGAAUCACUCACUGUUUCCCACAACGACACGAGUCAUCAGCCGUUUCCUCAAGGUCACGUCAGAGGGGUGGUGAUGUGGAGAGGCAGACCAGACCACCACCAUACGCGAAGAUGAGCCUCGAGGCUUGACAGUUAUUUUUUUCAAACUGAGGAGUUCGGACUCCGGACCGGCAUUUCUGCUUGUUUGUACCCUGAGAUAACCAUGGUUAAUAAAUGGUCAGACACGUCACUGGCUUUAAAAUAUAAACCCCAUUGAUGCAAAAAGGAGCUGCAUGGAAUGACAAUGUGGUUUGGAACAGACUUGGUGAAGAACAUGGAAACAUCAUCAGGAGUGCAAAAGAAGGAAGUAAAAAACAUCUCUACGCCAAUCUCAUUGGAGAGGAAACCACAGAAGGUCUGGUGAGGAAUGCUGCACUUAUGUUAUUGCAAACAUUAUUUCAAGAAAAUCCCAGCUUCCUUUACUGUGUAAAUAGUGAACCCAAAGGUCCCACACCAACCAUAGUGUUCAACGGCUCUCCUGAUCUUUUCAAAUCUGAAUGUAUCAACUUUAUAAUGGACAAUGUGAACUUAAUAUGUGGAAGACAUUGACAUCACAGGCUGUGGAAUGACUGUGUCACAGGUCGGAGAAGCGGACCGCCCCUGUCGCGGAUCACGCUCCUCCUAGUUCCACCUCGAGGAGGUCCCAAAGCACCCCAAUGACCAGACAAACCAGAGGGGGAGUAUUACGGGGCCAGGGACGUUGGAGGGGUUUCCACGUGACUCCAGCUGGAACACCGCUACAGAGCGUAUCUGGGUGGGUUGGGCACACACCGUCGCGGCGGCCCCUGAUGGCAUCCACAAGGGUCCAAGACCCUCCUAAGCUCCUAGCCGUAGCAGAACUACGUAUUUCAGCACCCGAAGGACUAACAACCCAGCCGGCAUCUGCAGCUUAUAUCCAACGCGAUCAAACUUCACUCUGACAAGUAACUUCCUAUACACAACCACGCCGUCCUUUCGCCCGGACCAGCCCCGCACUCUUUCCGCCCGCUACCUAGCGGUUGCCGGAUCAGCAGAGCCUGCGGACUCUUCGGAGGCUGGUCUUCGUUGUGCUGCCCAAGGCGGAAGUUGACUCGCCCGAAAAUCGAACCUUCCAGUAACUACUACCUUCUCUCUAUAUAUCCUCCUCCCAGGCGUGGCUCCCCCAACCAUCGCUCGCCACAUCACUCACACAGCUGUGCCUUGUUUCAGCGAGUGCGGGGAUUCCCGGGGAACCCUGAAGUGCCGGUGUCUGUACAAACCGGUCCGGGGGAACCUCUUCACUCUCCUUUUGGUUCCGCCCCGCAUAGUCACUCUGUGACAACUGCUUGCGUUUUUUUUUCUCUUCAAUGUUCAAUACCCUUUUGCCAUUAAGCACACAGUGACUUUAAUUUAUAAAAUAUAUGCUUAAGUUUUAAUACCUGUACAAAACAAAUGUACAAUCAACUUGUGUAAAUUGUCAUUCUAUUUAAUAGAUUGUUCAUGAAUUGUCUUUAAAUGCAUUGUGAUUUCGGUAACACUUUACAAUAAAGUUCAUUAGUUAACAUUAGUUAAUGUAUUAACUAACUUGAACAAACCAUAAGCAAUACAUUUGUUACAGUAUUUAUUCAUCUUUGUUAAUGUUAGUUAAUAAAAAUUUAAGCUUUAAUUGCUUGUUCAUGUUAGUUCAGAGUGCAUUAAUCAAUGUUAACAAGAUUUUAAUAAAGUAAAUUGUUGAAAUUAACAUUAACAAAGAUUAAUAAAGGCUGUAUAAGUGCAGUUCAUUAUUAGUUCAUGUUAACUAAUGUAGCUAACUAAUGUUAACUAAUGAACCUUAUUGUAAAGUGUUACCGUGAUUUCUUUUCAUCAUUUCAGACACAUGUAAAAGUUACAAAAAAUUAAUACUGCAUAUACUGUACAGUAUCUAUGCGUAAGGGAAAUAACUUAAACAAAAUUUUUAAUGUAUAGUGUAAUUAAGAGUUUAGCUGUUUAAUACAGAGAUGCAAUUUAUUUAUAUAUAUUAUUUAUAUAUAAACGUAUGUAUGUUUAUUAAAAAGUGAAAAUGCUUAAUGGAAAUAAUUAAAUAACUAAAUGGUUGAAUGUAAUGAGACAUUUUAAAUGUAAACUAAAGUUUUGCUGUCUAAUACAGAAUAAAGAGAUGUGAUUUUAAGUAA
Misgurnus anguillicaudatus (oriental weatherfish) is the source of this 3354-nucleotide non-coding RNA. NCBI's taxonomy places the organism in Eukaryota, Metazoa, Chordata, Actinopteri, Cypriniformes, Cobitidae. The record is from RefSeq and is a predicted model, not a curated record.